This 468-nucleotide ribosomal RNA is filed under the name uncultured bacterium. RNAcentral's name for it is "partial 16S ribosomal RNA". It matches the Rfam family "Bacterial small subunit ribosomal RNA", at positions 28 to 507 of the family's 1533-position model. The record is from RNAcentral.
GACGAACGCUGGCGGCGUGCUUAACACAUGCAAGUCGAACGGAAAGGCCCUGCUUUUGUGGGGUGCUCGAGUGGCGAACGGGUGAGUAACACGUGAGUAACCUGCCCUUGACUUUGGGAUAACUUCAGGAAACUGGGGCUAAUACCGGAUAGGAGCUCCUGCUGCAUGGUGGGGGUUGGAAAGUUUCGGCGGUUGGGGAUGGACUCGCGGCUUAUCAGCUUGUUGGUGGGGUAGUGGCUUACCAAGGCUUUGACGGGUAGCCGGCCUGAGAGGGUGAACGGCCACAUUGGGACUGCGAUACGGCCCAGACUCCUACGGGAGGCAGCAGGGGGGAAUAUUGCACAAUGGGCGGAAGCCUGAUGCAGCAACGCCGCGUGCGGGAUGACGGCCUUCGGGUUGUAAACCGCUUUCGCCUGUGACGAAGCGUGAGUGACGGUAAUGGGUAAAGAAGCACCGGCUAACUACGUG